AAGAAAAAAAAAAAGAGAAUCCAUGUUUCAACUCAGCUGCGAUAUGCUUGCAUGUGACUCGUGAGCCUGAGAAACUACCUGUUCUUGGAAAGAAACUGAUUUUCCAAACCAUGGCUUGAAAAUUCAGCUCACUCUUCGAUUAAUGGCGUCAAUUAAUGCGAUCAAAGAGGCGCCAGUCAACCAAAUGUCUGUCAAACUUGAAGAGUCAAACAAUGGAGGGUAGAACUAUACAAACACGAGGAUGCAGAUAAUUCUGGGUGAUAGAUUAGUAGCGAAGGUCUGUUCACUCUGUUUCCUAUUUAACGCAUUGCAUUGUUCCUUCUAUUUUGUUUAUUGCAUAUGAUCAUCCUUCGUUGAUAUCUUUAGCACACACAUUUACAUGUUUCAUAAAAUCAUCAGCACUAUACCAUUUCGGAAGAAAAUGGCAAAAAAAUUUUAACUCAAAAACUUCAUCUCUGCAUGUGGUCUUUCCUGAUGUUUGGCGUCAAUGUCCUAAAUUUCUUGUUACGGCAGCACCAUGUAUCCUGUGGUGGCAUGGCUGCAUGGAGGCUUUACAAUGACAGCAAGUAAUAGUAGGCCAAUGCUACUGGCAAUGCAAUGAGCAAGCCCAAAAGUACCCUGUAACCAAAAGAAAACACCAUUUCAUUAUGUUGUUUAGCUAUAUAACUUGCGCUUCUCCUUAAACUGCUCAAAUGUUGCCAUGGCAUGUAAAGUUUCUUCGAUUUUUUUUUAUGAGUAAUGUUGGAAAUUAAAAUGAA
This is a non-coding RNA of Benincasa hispida (wax gourd), 758 nucleotides long. The record is from RefSeq and is a predicted model, not a curated record. NCBI's taxonomy places the organism in Eukaryota, Viridiplantae, Streptophyta, Magnoliopsida, Cucurbitales, Cucurbitaceae.